RNAcentral lists this ribosomal RNA (253 nucleotides) under uncultured bacterium. Its description in RNAcentral is "partial 16S ribosomal RNA". It matches the Rfam family "Bacterial small subunit ribosomal RNA", at positions 524 to 776 of the family's 1533-position model. The record is from RNAcentral.
UACAGAGGGUGCAAGCGUUAAUCGGAGUUACUGGGCGUAAAGGGCGCGUAGGUGGUUGUGUAAGUGAGAUGUGAAAGCCCUGGGCUUAACCUAGGAACUGCAUCUUAUACUGCAUAACUGGAGUACUGUAGAGGGUAGUGGAAUUUCCGGUGUAGCGGUGAAAUGCGUAGAGAUCGGAAGGAACACCAGUGGCGAAGGCGGCUACCUGGACAGAUACUGACACUGAGGCGCGAGAGCGUGGGGAGCAAACAGG